Molecule: ribosomal RNA, 433 nt
Filed under: uncultured bacterium
Lineage: Bacteria
Description: bacterial SSU rRNA
Rfam family: Bacterial small subunit ribosomal RNA
Source: RNAcentral
AUUGAACGCUGGCGGCAUGGCUAAAACAUGCAAGUCGAACGAUCCCUUCGGGGAGAGUGGCGAAAGGGCGAGGAAUAGAAUCGAAUGUACCCCAAGGUGGGGAUAGCCUCUGGAAACGGAGGGUAAUACCCCAUGUGCUCUAUGGAGGAAAGGUUUACCGCCUUGGGAGCAGCGAUUCUCCUAUCAGGUAGUUGGUGAGGUAACGGCUCACCAAGCCGAAGACGGGUAGCGGGUGUGAGAGCAUGACCCGCCGCAUCGGGACUGAGACACUGCCCGGACUCCUACGGGAGGCUGCAGUAACGAAUCUUCCGCAAUGGGCGAAAGCCUGACGGAGCAAUGCCGCGUGUGGGAUGAAGCAUCUUCGAUGUGUAAACCACUGUCAGGGUCUAGGAAUACUGACCAGACCCAAAGGAAGGGCCGGCUAAUUCCGUAG